This 327-nucleotide unclassified non-coding RNA is filed under the name soil metagenome. Its description in RNAcentral is "partial contains 5.8S ribosomal RNA, internal transcribed spacer 2, and large subunit ribosomal RNA". The stretch from base 1 to 120 matches the Rfam family "5.8S ribosomal RNA", at positions 35 to 154 of the family's 154-position model. The record is from RNAcentral.
GAUGAAGAACGUAGCGAAAUGCGAUAAGUAGUGUGAAUUGCAGAAUUCAGUGAAUCAUCGAAUCUUUGAACGCACAUUGCGCCCCUUGGUAUUCCGAGGGGCAUGCCUGUUCGAGCGUCAUUUUGACCACUCCCGCUUGCGGGGUCUUGGGCCUUCGCCUCUGGGCGGGCCUUAAAAUCAGUGGCGGUGCCGUCCGGCUCUAAGCGUAGUAAAUCUCCUCGCUAUAGGGUUCCGGAGGGAUGCUGGCCAACAACCCCCAACUUUUAAGGUUGACCUCGGAUCAGGUAGGGAUACCCGCUGAACUUAAGCAUAUCAAUAAGCGGAGGA